Molecule: ribosomal RNA, 258 nt
Filed under: Triticum aestivum (bread wheat)
Lineage: Eukaryota; Viridiplantae; Streptophyta; Magnoliopsida; Poales; Poaceae
Description: partial small subunit ribosomal RNA
Source: RNAcentral
AUGAAGGCCAUGAGUCUAACACGGGGUCUUGUAGACACGAUCGCUGCUGGUGAGUCAUGUGGUGAUCGGAUUGGUAAAAGGAUUGUGCUCCCAAGGACAUUUCCUGGUGGUGAUAGAGAUAUGCAGAGAAGGUUCCUAGAUGCAAUUGCCAUAGUGCAGCGAUGGGGUAAACUAGAUUACUUCAUCACAAUGACAUGCAACCCAUACUGGGAGGAGAUAACAACAGAGUUGAUGCCCGGACAACUACCACAUGAUUGA